UUGAAGUAGUAGAAGCUUUUCCAUUCAGUGAUGUCUGGCCAGAGAAGCUCCACAACAGGUUUGAAGUUAACAGAGAAUGAGAUUAAUGAUCUUGUGUCAAGGUUGCAAGUACUUCUGCCACAUCUGAACCAAAGAACCAACUCAAAGCAUUCAUUGUCAAAGAUCUUGCAAGAAACUUGCAGUCACAUUAGGAGGCUGCAGAAAGAAGUGGAUGACCUUGGUGAAAGGCUAGCAUUGCUAAUGGAUUCUAUGGAUAUUAGUGAUGUUGACAGAAGAGUUUUAGAAAACUUUUUGCAACAAUAACAAAUGAGUCCUUUUUCUACGUUCUAGGCCCCUAUGACCUCCUUGCCUAUUUCUAUGUCUCCUCUUUCUUGUUCCCACCUAUUUAGAUUGUAAUCUAAUAGGGGCUCCAACUAGCUUGUACUAAAAUAAGUUGUGUAAUGAUAAAGAAUAAAACUUCUUAAAA
Long non-coding RNA from Arachis duranensis, 466 nucleotides. RefSeq lists it as uncharacterized. Lineage: Eukaryota; Viridiplantae; Streptophyta; Magnoliopsida; Fabales; Fabaceae. The record is from RefSeq and is a predicted model, not a curated record. The transcript is spliced from 2 exons.